UGAGAGAGAACGCAUGCAAACAGAGAAAAGACUGCGACGAGGAGGAGUAGUCUCAUUGUAUCGCUACCACCAGCUAGACCCAACGUAGAGGACAAAGAACAAAAAGUUGCUGUGCUGUAUAUGCAAUGAUAUCAGGUGACCCUUCGUCUACUCUGAGGGGGAGGAGCUUGGGGUGGGUGUGGUGGAAAAUAGGCGUGGACAGUGAUGUCUGGUCGAGUGUGCUAUAAGAGAACAAAAAUGAAAGAAAUUAUUUUCUCAACUUUUGCUAUGUGUAGAUUAUAAUACUCUUCUACUUUAUAAAAUUGAGUAUGUUUGGUAUCUACAGUUAUACAUGUA
This 336-nucleotide long non-coding RNA is filed under the name Amphimedon queenslandica. RNAcentral's name for it is "uncharacterized LOC109583263, transcript variant X2". The record is from RNAcentral. Lineage: Eukaryota; Metazoa; Porifera; Demospongiae; Haplosclerida; Niphatidae.